Molecule: ribosomal RNA, 776 nt
Filed under: Diversispora versiformis
Lineage: Eukaryota; Fungi; Glomeromycota; Glomeromycetes; Diversisporales; Diversisporaceae
Description: LSU rRNA
Rfam family: Eukaryotic large subunit ribosomal RNA
Source: RNAcentral
GCAUAUCAAUAAGCGGAGGAAAAGAAACUAACAAGGAUUCCCCUAGUAACGGCGAGUGAAGAGGGAAAAGCUCAAAUUUUAAAUCCACCUGGUUCCCAGGUCGAAUUGUAAUUUGAAGAAGCGAUAUCGGUUUUGAGGUUUGGUUUAAGUUCUUUGGAACAAGACAUCAUGGAGGGUGAGAAUCCCGUGCAUGAUCAGACCAAGAUACCUAAUAUUCGUUUUCUAAGAGUCGAGUUGUUUGGGAAUGCAGCUCAAAAUGGGUGGUAGACUUCACCUAAGGCCAAAUAUCCGCGAGAGACCGGUAGCGAACAAGUACUGUGAAGGAAAGAUGAAAAGAACUUUGAAAAGAGAGUUAAAUAGUACGUGAAAUUGUUGAAAGGGAAACGAUUGAAGUCAGUCAUGCUAGUGAAAAAUCAGUUUGACGGGUUUUGAGUUCUUGAGUAGAGGCAGGGUCAAACCGUCUCUCUUUCGGACUUUAGAUUUGUUAGACGUACUUUUUCUUUGGCAGGUCAACGUCGGUUUCGGGGGUUGUAAAAUACUUGGGGGAAAGUAGCUCUGCUUCGGGAGAGUGUUAUAGACCCUGGGAGAUGCAGCCUGUGGGAUCGAGGAUUGCAGCAAAUGCCUUCUGGCUUGUCGCCUGUUCCUGGGCGUUACCUUUCUUGUGACAACAUUCUUGCCACCGGAGAGUACUAAUGCCUACUGUUUAGAGCGAUCGAAAAUUUUGCUAAGGAUGUUGACGUAAUGGCUUUAAACGACCCGUCUUGAAACACGGACCA